Molecule: RNA transcript, 3287 nt
Organism: Salvelinus fontinalis (brook trout)
Lineage: Eukaryota; Metazoa; Chordata; Actinopteri; Salmoniformes; Salmonidae
Gene: terf2
Gene name: telomeric repeat binding factor a
Exons: 15
Source: RefSeq, a predicted model, not a curated record
UAUUCUAAAUGAAUGGUAAUCGGUUUGACGCGAUGACGUCAUUGACGUGGUGCGUAAGGUGAGCGUAAGGUUGACUAAACACUAACCAGCGCGGCAGAUGAGAAAAGCUUGUUUACUUCGUUGAUGUGGCGGCAAAACCAUAACAUGGAGGCGAGUGAGGACCGCGGACUAGAUGUGGAAUGUGUUGUUAAUCGGUGGAUGGUGGAUUAUUAUGUAUCUGUGGCGUUUGAGGCUUUCAAGAAUGAACAGGACACUGAUUUCUGUGAGAUCAGAGACAUCCUUCAAUGUCAUCUGGUUCGGCCGUUGGAAGCCAACGACGCCACACCCAAGAAGAUUCGAGCAAUACAGUUCCUCGCCAGGAUAAAUGACGGUGACAAACUCGACUUCUCGUUUGACUCUCAGGAGGACCUCACGCCGCUGGAAUCUGCUCUGAGCGUAUUGGACAGCAUCCGCGAGGAGUCGCCGGUUCCCCAGAAAGACGUGGACAGAGUACAGAAGUCUAUCAGAGAGAUGUUGGUGAUCGUGUGCCUUAAGAACCAGGCCUUUGACAAAGCCAAGGAGGUUUUGGUGAAGUACUUCCCAAAAAGCAACGUUGGAAAGAAAGCGAUCUUCCUGGGGCUGGUCAACAAGAGGAGCAGUGAGCAUUCAGUCCUGCAGCAGGUCACCUACCAGCAGUUUAAACAGGAGAUGCUGCUGUUCUGUGAGAGCCUGUUCCCCUACUCUCAUCCUUUCCUGUCCAGGGCUGCCAGACAGCUGAUGGUGAAGAGACAGGAAGCAGGACAGGAUGCAGAGGAAGGAGACUGUCCCUCAGACACUCAGCCAGAGGACCACCUUGUUCCAGCCACAGAGGAGAAGGCAUCCAGACACAAACCCAGUCCUCCUCCUGGUGGCGUCCUGCUGACCCGCUGCCAGCUGAUGGCCGUUUAUACAGCCCUGGCCGAGGAGCUGAGGGAGCCCAUGACCUUUGCGGAGCUGGAGGAGGAAGUGGAAAUGGAGGUGAUGGAGGAGAAUGCAGGAAAAGGAGUUGCAGUUAUGGACCAAGAGGAACCUCUCCUGCACCUCUCCGAAAGCCCCAGGCAGGGCUCAGACGCUGUGUUGGAGCAGGAAGUCCCCAGGUCCCAGAGAGACUCCGACAGUCCAAUGGAGGCGUCCCCUGCUGACCUGGUUCCCCCAGCAGACCUGGCACCAGGUCCCCAGUGGAAGAGCAGAGGCUGGCCUCAUACCAUAGCCAGGCUGGUUAUGGAGCCAGACAGCCAGGAUUCUACGGCCUCUCGAGAAUCAGUAUCCAACGGGGAGGAGUCAGUCAGCCGGGCGGACCCACUAAGCUCCGCCUCCACCUACAGCCCACCAACACGGAAGUAUCGCAAACGACGAGCCAGCGAGAUACCCGGAGAGACCUCGUCUGACCCUGAGGAGGAUGUGUGUAUUCUGGAUAACACACCUGAGCAGAGAGGCUCCGCCCCCCAGAGAAGCUCCACCCCCACCCCCCAGAGAGUCUCUGCCCAUCAGAGAAGCCCCACCCAUCAGAGAAGCCCCACCCCCACCCCCCAAAGGAUCUCUGCCCCCCAGAGAAGCUCCACCCCCACCCCCCAGAGAGGUUCUUCACAUAAGAGAAGCCCCACCCCUCAGAGAAGCUCCACCCCCCAAAGGAUCUCUGCCCCCCAGAGAGGUUCGUCACAUAAGAGAAGCCCCACCUCCCAGACAAGCCACACCCACCAGAGAAGCCCCACCCCCCCGAGAGGCUCCACCCCCACCCCCCAGAGAGGGCCUUCACAUAAGAGAAGCCCCACCCCCCAGAGAAGCCCCGCCCCUCAGAAGGCCUCCACCAGUCAAAAGGGAACUGAUCUGAAGUGGAAGCAGCUAUUCAGUGUUGCUAAGGAAUCCAAGGAUCGGUGGAGUGAUGAAGAGGAUUUAUUCGACUCUCCUCACAAAGACAGCUCUGAGGACAACGCCAGUACUACCGGAGGAGGCAGGAAGAGGGUGAGUUUAGGAUCUGAGGACAGGAAGAGGGUGAGUUUAGGAUCUGGAGACACCAGUACUACAGGAAGAGGGUGAGUUUAGGAUCUGGAGACACCAGUACUACAGGAGGAGGCAGGAAGAGGGUGAGUUUAGGCUCUGGAGACACCAGUACUACAGGAGGAGGGUGAGUUUAGGAUCUGGAGACACCAGUACUACCGGAGGAGGCAGGAAGAGGGUGAGUUUAGGAUCUGGAGACACCAGUACUACAGGAAGAGGGUGAGUUUAGGAUCUGGAGACACCAGUACUACUGGAGGAGGCAGGAAGAGGGUGAGUUUAGGCUCUGGAGACACCAGUACUACAGGAGGAGGGUGAGUUUAGGAUCUGGAGACGCCAGUACUACAGGAGGAGGCAGGAAGAGGGUGAGUUUAGGAUCUGAGGACAGGAAGAGGGUGAGUUUAGGAUCUGGAGACACCAGUACUACAGGAGGAGGCAGGAAGAGGGUGAGUUUAGGAUCUGGAGACACCAGUACUACAGGAGGAGGCAGAAAGAGGGUGAGUUUAGGCUCUGGAGACACCAGUACUACAGGAAGAGGGUGAGUUUAGGCUCUGGAGACACCAGUACUACAGGAAGAGGGUGAGUUUAGGCUCUGGAGACACCAGUACUACAGGAGGAGGCAGGAAGAGGGUGAGUUUAGGAUCUGGAGACACCAGUACUACAGGAGGAGGCAGGAAGAGGGUGAGUUUAGGAUCUGGAGACACCAGUACUACAGGAGGAGGCAGAAAGAGGGUGAGUUUAGGAUCUGGAGACACCAGUACUACAGGAAGAGGGUGAGUUUAGGCUCUGGAGACACCAGUACUACUGGAAGAGGCAGGAAGAGGGUGAGUUUAGGAUCUGGAGACACCAGUACUACAGGAGGAGGCAGGAAGAGGGUGAGUUUAGGAUCUGGAGACACCAGUACUACAGGAGGAGGCAGGAAGAGGGUGAGUUUAGGUUCUGGAGACACCAGUACUACAGGAGGAGGCAGGAAGAUGGUGAGUUUAGGUUCUGGAGACAGGAAGAGGGUGAGUUUAGGAUCUGGAGACACCAGUACUACAGGAGGAGGCAGGAAGAGGGUGAGUUUAGGAUCUGGAGACACCAGUACUACAGGAGGAGGCAGGAAGAGGGUGAGUUUAGGAUCUGGAGACACCAGUACUACAGGAAGAGGGUGAGUUUAGGAUCUGGAGACGCCAGUACUACCGGAGGAGGCAGGAAGAGGAUGUGGACAGCAGAGGAGACCGAGUGGGUGAAGGAGGGAGUGAGGCGCUACGGAGAGGGGAACUGGUCCAGGG